RNAcentral lists this transfer RNA (64 nucleotides) under Puliciphora borinquenensis. RNAcentral's name for it is "tRNA-Ile". Lineage: Eukaryota; Metazoa; Arthropoda; Insecta; Diptera; Phoridae. The record is from RNAcentral.
AAUGAAUUGCCUGAAAAAGGGCUAUCUUGAUAGGAUAGAUCAUAUAGGAUUCCUAUAUUCAUUU